UAAGGAAUAUUGCUCAAUGGGAGAAAUCCUGAAGCAGCAACGCCGCGUGGAGGAUGAAGGGUCUAUGACUUGUAAACUCCUGUAAAGAAGGAAAAAAUUCCCAUUUGAUGGGAGAUGAUGGUACUUCUGGAGUAAGCCCCGGCUAACUACGUGCCAGCAGCCGCGGUGAUACGUAGGGGGCAAGCGUUGUCCGGAUUUACUGGGUGUAAAGGGUGCUCAGGCGGAUUUGUAAGUCAGAGGUGAAAUCUUACAGCUUAACUGUGAAACUGCCUUUGAUACUGCAAGCCUAGAGUAUGGAAGAGAGUGAUGGAAUAUCUGGUGUAGCAGUGAAAUGCGUAGAUAUCAGAUAGAACACCAAUGGCGAAGGCAGUCACUUGGUCCAUUACUGACGCUAAAGCACGAAAGCGUGGGUAGCAAACA
This 420-nucleotide ribosomal RNA is filed under the name uncultured bacterium. RNAcentral's name for it is "bacterial SSU rRNA". It matches the Rfam family "Bacterial small subunit ribosomal RNA", at positions 355 to 774 of the family's 1533-position model. The record is from RNAcentral.